GAUGAACGCUGGCGGCGUGCCUAAUACAUGCAAGUCGAGCGAACAGACGAGGAGCUUGCUCCUCUGACGUUAGCGGCGGACGUGUGAGUAACACGUGGAUAACCUACCUAUAAGACUGGGAUAACUUCGGGAAACCGGAGCUCAUACCGGAUAAUAUAUUGAACCGCAUGGUUCAAUAGUGAAAGACGGUUUUGCUGUCACUUAUAGAUGGAUCCGCGCCGCAUUAGCUAGUUGGUAAGGUAACAGCUUACCAAGGCAACGAUGCGUAGCCGACCUGAGAGGGUGAUCGGCCACCCUGGAGCGGAGACACGGUCCAGACGCCUACGGGAGGCAGCAGUAGGGAAUCUUCCGCAAUGGGCGAAAGCCUGACGGAGCAACGCCGCGUGAGUGAUGAAGGUCUUCGGAUCGUAAAGCUCUGUUAUUAGGGAAGAACAAAUGUGUAAGUAACUAUGCACGUCUUGACGGUAACUAAUCAGAAAGCCACGGCUAACUACGUG
Molecule: ribosomal RNA, 497 nt
Filed under: uncultured bacterium
Lineage: Bacteria
Description: partial 16S ribosomal RNA
Rfam family: Bacterial small subunit ribosomal RNA
Source: RNAcentral